Long non-coding RNA from Homo sapiens (human), 3846 nucleotides. RefSeq lists it as uncharacterized. Lineage: Eukaryota; Metazoa; Chordata; Mammalia; Primates; Hominidae. The transcript is spliced from 2 exons. The record is from RefSeq and is a predicted model, not a curated record.
ACCCAGGUGAAAUAAGCAGCCUUGUUGCUCACACAAAGGUUUGGUGGUCUCUUCACAUGGACGCGCAUGAAAGAUUUGAUGUAUGCAGAGAAUAUGUAUGCAGAUUUUGGAGUUUCUACCUUCUGUGGACUUCCUCUUUUUCUGGAUUCCUUUUUCAAUUCCCAGCCAUUUUUGAGAGUGGGGGAAAAACAUGUAAAUAUGGAUUGCAACUAGUAUAUUUCCUUUUUUUCAAUCAUUUUAUUCCCUCGAGUAUCUGCCUGCUUGUCACUAUCCUAUGCUUUCAAAUAACUAUUUUAUAUGUCUUGUUUGACAUUUAUGAUUGUUAGUAGCAGAAAUGUUAGUAUAAUAAAAUCUGUGCCAACACUAUUCAAGGCAAGAUGUCCUUAGGAAAACUUUAAAAAUAAAUUCCUGAAAUAUAAAACUUAAGCAAAAAUAAAAUACAUAUAUUACACACACACACACACACACACACACACACAAAUAUAUUUAUAUAUAAAUUAGCUGGGUGUGGUGGUGCACGCCUGUAAUCCCAGCUACUCUGGAGGCUGAGGCAAGAGAAUCACUUGAACUGGGGAAGCACAGUUUGCAGUGUGCUGAGAUUGUGCCACUGCACUCCUGCCUGAGCAACAGGCAACAGAGGAAGACCACAUCUAAAAAAAACACACACACAAACACACACAUCAUGGGACAUUUUUGCAAAUCCUUUAAGUUCACCAGCUAUCACUAGCAUUAGUGUUUUUAGGUGUGGCCCAAGACAACUCUUCAUCUUCCACUGUGGCCCAGGGAAGCUAAAAGAUUGGACUUCCCUGGAGUAGAUGGUUUAUAAGGCCUGUUUUAACCUCAAAGUGCUUGGAUUCUACUCUCUUGGUCCCAGCCGCUGAACAACCAUCUCAGUUCAGACUCCACCCCACGGUGUGGUCUGAUAAUGACCUUGAUGAGGACCAAUGACAUGGCUGGUCCUCACACAUUGGCCUGAUAACAUUUAUCGGCCUCUGAGGAGUGGUGUAAGAAGCUUAUAUUUGAUCAAAGUGCUGCCUUGAACUCUGACUUUGAAGAGAACUGCUGGACUGAAACAUUCACAGUGAGUCAACAAACCCUUCCUUCCUUCUGCCAACCUCAUCUUCAUCCGCUUCAAGGUCGGCCUGGCCCCAGGCCAUGUCUGGACAAGGUCUUGUCCAUGACUGCCAGCCUCUGGUAGCAGAGAAGCUUACUUGUCCUGGUCAAUUCCUAAGUAACCUAUAUUUUUCUUGGUUUCCUACAGACUGUAAUCCCCCUGCCUUCUAUCAAGGUGAAAUGUUAACAAGUUUAAAUAUCCAGCGGUGCUCUUCCUUCCUUGGAUGAAACUUUCUAAGCUCUAUCACUUGUUUAUAGGUCUGGAGAAAUACAAUGAUCCUGAAGAAAACCUGAGCUUAUGUGAAGCAACUUUGUUUUCCUUUGACAAACUCCCAUUUCCAACACCAGAAUCCAACUGCAAGGAAAUGAAGCAUAAACAGCUGAAUUUAGAAAUCUUCUAAUUCUGAUUUUUUUAUUUUUGUUUUUGAGACAAAGUCUUGUCCUGUGGCCCAGGCUGGAGUGCAAUAGUGUGAUUAUAGCUCACUGCAGCCUCGAACUCCUGGUCUCAAGUGAUCCUCCCACCUCAGCCUCCCAAGUAGCUGGGACUACAGGCAAGAGUCACCAUGCCUAGCUACUUUUUUUUAUUUUUGUAAAGAUGGAAUCUUGCUAUGUUGCCCAGGCUGGUCUCCAACUCCUGGCCUAAACAAUCCUCCCACCUUAGCUUCCCAAAGUGCUGGAAUUAUAGACAUAAGCCACCAUUCCCAGCCUAAUUCAUAUUUUUAAGCAGGAAGCAUAGUCUACCUUAUAACUCCUAUGCUCUUCUUCCAAAACCUUUACCCUGUAGUUUAUGAACUGCGAUGAAGGACCAAGUAUAUCUCCAUUCUAACAGCACAUUAUAAUGUCCACACAAUAUAUAAAUAAAAGAAAAGCAGGCCGGUCACGGUGGCUCACACCUGUAAUUCCAGCACUUUCAGAAGCCAAAGUGGGUGGAUCACUUGAGGCCAGGAGUUGAAGACCAGCCUGGCCAAAAUGGUGAAACCCCGUCUCUACUAAAAAUAUAAAAAUUAGCCAAGUGAUGGUGGCACAUGCCUGUAAUUCCAGCUACUUGGGAGGCUGAGGCAGGAGAAUCACUUGAACCUGGGAGGCAGAGGUUGCAGUGAGCCAAGAUCAUGCCACUGCACUCCAGCCUGGACAACAGAGCGAGACUCCAUCUCAAAAAAAAUAAAAAGAAAAAAAGAAAGGCAAUGUGGUACCAUGCCUUAGGAUCGUACAUACGUCACCCAACUCGCUUACCUACUGUAAUGGACGUUUGUUGCUCUUGCUUGUACGGCACUCUUUUUCUAGAUCUUCCUUUGGACAACCGCCUCCUCCCUGCCUUCAUUCCUGUGGUUUGGUGAAGCUGACACUUCUCCCAGCUAUAGGGAGGGGCGUGAGCCACAGGCCAAAGUCAAUCAGUGCAUUCCAUCCACCAGCCCAGAGACUGAAUCAGCAAAGGUCCCAGAGCUCCACUUGGGCCAAUGGCAGUCAGGCCAAGGACUUUGUGGAACUGUUGCUCAGAGGACAGGUACUCACCUUGCACUGAAACUGGAGUGAUGGGAGUAUGAACCUGGGGCUACUAACAGCCAUCUUGCCCCAGAAGGAAGUACUUCCCUAAGUUUAAUGCCUACCCAGAGGAGGGCAGAGCAGAUAGACAAGAGACAGGGUUCUGGGGUCAACUGUGUCUGAAGUCAGAGACAUGAAAUAAAUUUCGUUUUUUGCUCAGAUUCAGGUCUUGCACAGAAACUGAGCCUUGAUUUUCCGCAGAAUAUACUGUGACCAAGCCUCCUGCAGGGCUGCCUGUACGUUAAAGAAAUGGAAGCGUCUUGAAUCGUGUCCAUCGUCCCUCCUUUACACAAAGUAAUCACCUCCAGCUGGGCCAAGUUGAUUGAGGAAACGUUCAGUUUUCACAUGAUUUUGCUGUAGCACCAUAAUGAAUGUAUUUCUUUGAUGGAAGAAAGAAGCUUCAUGAAAUAAACUGCUUAAGGAUUUGAAGUUGGAGCUGAAAACAUGGGCUGCUUUGUUCUUAAUGACAACUGCUUUGCCAUCUAAAACAUUUCUCCUUUUUGAAGGAUCUGUCUUUUCUCUUCCAGCCACAACCCUCGAGCUACAAUAACAGGCUCAUGAUUUUUUUAGAUGCCAAGGUUAUGAAUACUCUUUUAUGAAUAUUUUCCUUUGAACUCAUUUCUCUUGAAGAAGAAAAAUAGCCCUACAUAUUGCAGGAUUGACAAUAACAGACAAAACGUACAAAUUGUUCUCUUAGGGGCAGUAAAAUGCUCCAAAAUGCACAUAGAAAAAUUCCAAAUGCAACCUGAUGUUUAUGGAGCACUGCCUUUGCAGCUAUAAUUUUUAGAAAGUAAUAUUUCUGACUGACAUGAAUUAUACAGAGCAUAUUUCAGAGACUAAUAUCAGGUUAAUGCCUUAAAAUGUCUCCGUUUAUGACAUCAUGGCUGCUUUUCCUAUAUCAGUGCAAACUCUUAGUGAGUAGAAUUUGAGGAUAUGUCUUUUCAAAGGAAGAAAACCUUCACUGAAUUAAGCUGCUUAUGGUUUUAUUUUUUCUUUUAUCCCAUUUCAACAUAUCCACCAACCUCCUCUAAAAAUAAUUCAACUAAUGUGAACUCAACAGAUUAUAGUAGAUCUCUUAUUAAUUUCAUUUUGCCUCCAAAGGAGCUUAUCAUUUAGGCUUAUAAUUAUGUAUGCAGUACUGUCGACUAAUGUUUAGGUUCCUCAUUAAAACUUCAUUUCAUUCUGUUUUAA